UACAGAGGGCCCGAGCGUUGUUCGGAUUCAUUGGGCGUAAAGGGUGCGUAGGCGGCGUGGCAAGUCUGAUGUGAAAUCCUGGGGCUCAACCCUGGAACUGCAUUGGAUACUGCCUUGCUAGAGAACUGGAGAGGAGACUGGAAUUUACGGUGUAGCAGUGAAAUGCGUAGAGAUCGGAAGGAAGACCAGUGGCGAAGGCGAGUCUCUGGACAGUUACUGACGCUGAGGCACGAAGGCCAGGGGAGCAAACGGG
This 253-nucleotide ribosomal RNA is filed under the name uncultured bacterium. Its description in RNAcentral is "partial 16S ribosomal RNA". It matches the Rfam family "Bacterial small subunit ribosomal RNA", at positions 524 to 776 of the family's 1533-position model. The record is from RNAcentral.